GAUGAACGCUGGCGGCGUGCCUAAUACAUGCAAGUCGAGCGAACGGACGAGAAGCUUGCCUCUCUGAUGUUAGCGGCGGACGGGUGAGUAACACGUGGAUAACCUACCUAUAAGACUGGGAUAACUUCGGGAAACCGGAGCUAAUACCGGAUAAUAUUUUGAACCGCAUGGUUCAAAAGUGAAAGACGGUCUUGCUGUCACUUAUAGAUGGAUCCGCGCUGCAUUAGCUAGUUGGUAAGGUAACGGCUUACCAAGGCAACGAUGCAUAGCCGACCUGAGAGGGGGAUCGGCCACACGGGAACUGAGACACGGUCCAGACUCCUACGGGAGGCAGCAGUAGGGAAUCUUCCGCAAUGGGCGAAAGCCUGACGGAGCAACGCCGCGUGAGUGAUGAAGGUCUUCGGAUCGUAAAACUCUGUUAUUAGGGAAGAACAUAUGUGUAAGUAACUGUGCACAUCUUGACGGUACCUAAUCAGAAAGCCACGGCUAACUACGUG
RNAcentral lists this ribosomal RNA (497 nucleotides) under uncultured bacterium. Its description in RNAcentral is "partial 16S ribosomal RNA". It matches the Rfam family "Bacterial small subunit ribosomal RNA", at positions 28 to 507 of the family's 1533-position model. The record is from RNAcentral.